Phasianus colchicus (ring-necked pheasant) is the source of this 260-nucleotide non-coding RNA. Lineage: Eukaryota; Metazoa; Chordata; Aves; Galliformes; Phasianidae. The record is from RefSeq and is a predicted model, not a curated record.
GCCGCACGGCGCUGACCGAGAAAAGCAAGUUGGAGAAGGAUCACCUGUACAUGGCGUAUGCGGGUAUUAUGGCCAAGAGCUGUCACAUCGAAGAAGGGGAUGAAGAGGAGAAGGAGGAGGAGAAGGAGGAGGAGGAUCCGGAGGAUUCGUUCGAGGAGAAGGAGAUGGAGAAGCAGAAGCUGCUGUACCAGCAGUCGCGGCUGCACACGAGGGGAGCAGCUGAGAUGGUGCUGCAGAUGAUCAGCGCCUGCAAAGGUGGG